Molecule: non-coding RNA, 25 nt
Filed under: Cricetulus griseus (Chinese hamster)
Lineage: Eukaryota; Metazoa; Chordata; Mammalia; Rodentia; Cricetidae
Source: RNAcentral
UACCGUUGGACCACAGAUCGGCAGC